UACGGAGGGUGCAAGCGUUAUCCGGUUUCACUGGGUUUAAAGGGUGCGUAGGUGGGCUAGUAAGUCCGUGGUGAAAUCUCUGAGCUUAACUCGGAAACUGCCGUGGAUACUAUUAGUCUUGAAUCUCGUGGAGGUAAGCGGAAUAUGUCAUGUAGCGGUGAAAUGCUUAGAUAUGACAUAGAACACCGAUAGCGAAGGCAGCUUGCUACACGAGUAUUGACACUGAGGCACGAAAGCGUGGGGAUCAAACAGG
Molecule: ribosomal RNA, 253 nt
Filed under: uncultured bacterium
Lineage: Bacteria
Description: partial 16S ribosomal RNA
Rfam family: Bacterial small subunit ribosomal RNA
Source: RNAcentral